RNAcentral lists this ribosomal RNA (249 nucleotides) under uncultured bacterium. Its description in RNAcentral is "partial 16S ribosomal RNA". It matches the Rfam family "Bacterial small subunit ribosomal RNA", at positions 528 to 776 of the family's 1533-position model. The record is from RNAcentral.
UAGGGGGCAAGCGUUGUCCGGAUUCAUUGGGCGUAAAGAGCGUGUAGGCGGCCAGGUAGGUCGGUUGUGAAAACUGGAGGCUCAACCUUCAGAGGUCGACCGAAACCAUCUGGCUAGAGUCCGGGAGAGGAGAGUGGAAUUCCUGGUGUAGCGGUGAAAUGCGCAGAUAUCAGGAAGAACACCCGUGGCGAAAGCGGCUCUCUGGAACGGUACUGACGCUGAGACGCGAAAGCGUGGGGAGCGAACAGG